This 301-nucleotide ribosomal RNA is filed under the name uncultured bacterium. RNAcentral describes it as "partial 16S ribosomal RNA". It matches the Rfam family "Bacterial small subunit ribosomal RNA", at positions 509 to 807 of the family's 1533-position model. The record is from RNAcentral.
CAGCAGCCGCGGUAAUACGAAGGGGGCUAGCGUUGUUCGGAUUUACUGGGCGUAAAGCGCACGUAGGCGGACUUUUAAGUCAGGGGUGAGAUCCCGGGGCUCAACCCCGGAACUGCCUUUGAUACUGGACAUCUUGAGUGUGGGAGAGGUAAGCGGAACUCCGAGUGUAGAGGUGAAAUUCGUAGAUAUUCGGAAGAACACCAGUGGCGAAGGCGGCUUACUGGCCCAUUACUGACGCUGAGGCUCGAAAGCGUGGGGAGCAAACAGGAUUAGAUACCCCCGUAGUCCCUGUCUCUUAUAC